UGUCCCCUGCAUCGGCAGGCGGACUCUCAACCACUGCACCACCAGGGAAGCCCCAGCCGUCCUAACUUUGAACGCUGCCAUCACGGACGGGGCUGGGCAGGCGUUCUCCUAGGUGUCCCACCAGAGAAGUCACCACGAACCUGUUCUGAGGAAGCAGAAAGGAAUGCUCUCCGGGACCUGGCAGACUAAAUAGAGUGUUACCAAUGGGGUAUCACCCACAAAGAAACCAUCUGCUUUCACAGAGCAGCCGAGAAAGGGUUUCACGUCGUGCAGUGCUUAUCACCGGUUUGUGCUGAAACCUCAGGGCAGACCACCCACUCCUCAAGCAUGGAGACCCUGAGGCGGCAGGCAAGAAUCUAGGUUCAAACUUCAGGUGGGCCAGAAACGUAGCUUUCUUUGCUUCUCUACAACGGAAUCUGGUUAGGAUUUCAAGCCUCUGUUAGGUUCAGGCGUUGGAAAUGUCAUCUCAGUCCAUUUGGGCAUCUUGGGUGAUGCAUCGAGGCUCUGGGAGGGUUGCUGACUUCCAGGGAACCGCGUGGAGGAAUCAGUGGAACUCAGCACUGUCAUCCCUGCACGUGACGUUCCUGUCUGGCCUUCGGUUCUUGCUCCACCGCUCUCCUCCCUGACUGAAAGGCCAUAUGAGGACACAGCAAGGAGGUGGUGGUCGCCUGCAAGCCAGGAAGAGAGCUCUCACCAGAAACUGACCAUGCUGGCACCCUGACCUUGGACUUAACCAGCCAACAAAACUGACCUUGAAGCCUUCUGGUUAUGGUGACCUGAAGAAGUGGGCAAAUCCUCUUGGCGAAAAGCAGGUGUGAAACUGGACAGAUUGAUCAGAUAAGCCAUUUCAGGUCCCAGCUGCAUGAUCCAUGUUUCAAAUUCCCCUUUCUUCUUCCUCCUUGCCUUCCCCCUUCUCUCUCCCUCUAACCGAACCCCUUCCUUUGACAAGUAUUUAUUGAGAGCCAGGCCAAUCUGGAUGGGAAAACCAUUAAAACAUGAUCACACAAGUAAAUGUAUUAUGAACAACUGUGAUAACAGCUACGAAGGAAAACUACUUCUGAUACCCUUGAGGACCCCAGUCAAUCUCCUACUUCACAAAGAACCUGUGUUCAAGUGACAUCAUGACUUCUCAGGGAUGACUUGUUGGGAAGCCGAAGUUCUCGGGGGGCCUCUGUCAGUGAAUUUCGGAGGACGCAUGUCGUGGGUAAGAGGAAACUUUGGAGAUAGAUUGUUGCGCACCUAUUAGCUUUGUGACCUUGGCUAAGCUUCUCCUCCUCAUCUGGGAUGAUCCUAAACUGGGAUAAUAUCAUCCACCUAAUAGAAUUGUGGAGAGGAGAAAAUGAGGUAAUUCAGGGAAGUGCUCAGACAAGCGCCUAGAGUGUAGUCAGCACCCAGUAAAUCCUGGGUGGACUGGAAGGGUCUUAGAGCACAUGACCAAGGAGUGGUGUGGCAGUGGGGUAGCAGGCAGGGGACAACUUAGACAACAGCAGUGGUACUGACUUUCUCAGCAGUGCCCCUGUGAUAAGACUCUGCCUACAGACAGUGAACCAGGUGGAAUAUUCAGAGGCAGGGAGCGUGAUGGGCCCAGAGCCAAGGGAGGAAAAGCCAUCGAGAUGCUGCCGGCCAUGCUGGGCUGGGCUACGUGCAUGAAGAGCGUCAACAGGGCUUUGCACUUGGUAGGAGGUGAGGACAGAGUUAGCCUGCAGAAAGCCAGCAGUGAGGUGGUGAGACCAUGGGGGGUGAACACCUCCUGCCAGAGGAAAAUCUGGUCAAAGAAUGGUGGUCAGUAGCUUAAGGGGACAGUGGCAAUCCGGAUGGAGACAGGAGGACACAUUUCAGAUGGGGAUAGUAAAGAGGAGGGUCUGUGGAGUUUGGAGACCAGGAGGCCGCCAUCAGCAUGGUUUUGCUGGUGAUACUCUAUCAGGGUUGCUGCCUGGAGUAUGUGUUGGCGGAAAGGUUAGGAGUCAUUACACUGACCAUGGAGACUAAUUGAAGUUCAAGGACGGGAGGAGGCAGCAAGACCGGGAGAACCUGGAGGGGCCAAAGUGGCCAGCAGACUUAAAGAGCAGAAGAGAGAAAGCUUUAGAGAGCUGCGGGGGGAGGGUGCUGAGGCUUCCUCAGCACAGGAGGGCCUGGAGGGAGUGAAGAUUCAACCAGCUGUGUGGCCGGCACGAUGCCCACCAUGCUAGGUGUUCAAUAAGGUUGACAGUGCAAUGAAGAACCCUCAGACGGGCUAGGGAACGUGCAUCUUGUUAUUCCCAUUUUUCAGAUGAUCAGAGACGCUUAGUGUUUUACGUAAGGUCACACAGCCAGACAGUGGGAGGGCCAAGACUCAAACUUGGGGCUCCAGGGUCCUGGCCUGGGACUCUUUGCUUUCAGCACAAUGCUGCCCUCUUAGGAUUUGUUGUCUGGCCCCCUGACUCAGGGCCAACCUCCUGUCCCCCUGACAGACUAUGGGAAGGCAGGAGGGUGCUGUGCAAAGGAAUUUUCAGUUCAGAUCCUACUUUUCCACUUGUAAGUUGUGUGGUCUGGGCAAACGUUUUACCUCUUUGAACCUCGUUGUCUCCUCUGUCCAAUGGGGGUGAUUCAGCCUUUACCCAGCUGUAUCUGGGCCAACCAGCUAGAACGUAAGCUCCGUGAGGGCCGGGCCUUUUGUCUGCUUUUUUCACUACUGGAUGUCCAGCACUGGCGCCUAGAACAGGGCCUUGAAGAAUGCAGUGCCCCAUACUUAGGGCUGUUAUUCCCAAAUAUGACCACAAGAUGGCAGCAAAGGAGAGCGGGUCCCAAGACAAGGCUGUCACAGUUCUCAGGACUCCUACACACUUCCAGACACCAGGUCUCCCUGCAUUAGGACAUGGAGGGCUCUCAUUGUUUCCUGAGCUUCCCUGACUGUGGGCCGUGCAGAUCCCAAUUACUUAGCGCCUUUGAAGUGGCCCGCUGCUGCUCAGGUGUGAAGGGACAGCACAUUCCAUGGGAUGCUCUCCGACUGUGGUCUAGCAGAGCCGUGUAAACUACAAAGAAGGGCACUGGAUUGGAUCUUGAGUCUUAAAUGGUGCCCCCUGGGGCAUUGGGGUGGGGGAUGAGGAAUCAGAGUGGGGUGUGGCUUAGAUGCCUGGAUUGGGAAUGUCUAAAGGUAUCAUCACCUAAACAACAGUUGAUGAGGAAUCUUUACACCGUCAUCUCAUUUUGAGACUGGUGUUAUGGUUAUGGCUGGCGCCUUCAGGUUAUAUCUCAAAUAUUUCCUUCUCAGAGAUGUUUCCCCUCAUUGAAAGUAGCCCCCACUUUGUAUCACACUUUUUCAAAGCACUUACCGCCAUCAGAAGUAAUUUUGUCUCUGUUUUGUAAGUUGCUUUUGUGUGCCUGUGGUUCUCCACUCACCAGGAUGUUUAGGACAGUGUCAGAGGGGAUUCUAGAAGUGGAGCUAUGCCUGGCAUACAGGCGAGUGCUCAGACAAGAACUGAUGAACGUGGAACAAAUUGCACCCCCUGUGUAGCUGUCCCUCUCAUGACAUCCUGAACUUUUCCUAUGAUGCAUGGAUCACACAGUUUUUGGGGGAUUUAUCUCUUGUUCUGCUCCCCAGGGGUUGCAAGCUCAAGGAGGGAAGGACCACAUCCCACGUUCAGUGCCCUGUCCCUGGUGUCUUGCACAGUCCCUGGCACCUGAGGUGACCAGAAAACAUUUAGUGGUGGCUUUCUACCCAGGAUCACAUUGAAUUGACACGCCAGCCUCGUGAGGGACAGAUACCUAUGCCCUUUCUACGUGUCGGGGAGACCGAGGCUCAGAGAGAUGAAAUAACUGUCCCACCAGGCAUUGCAGCUUAGAAGAGGUGGAGGCAGCCUUUGAACUUGGAACUCUACUACCUCUGAAUGCAGACAUGACCUGAGAAGGAGAAUUUUGACUUUUGCUGCUCGUUCUCUCUCUCUUCUUAGUUCCUUUUACUGAGUCUCUUAACCUCACCUCAAUCCUCUUAUCUGCAAUCGGCUUCCAAAGAGGAUUCAAAUCACCUUGUCUUGCAGGCAGGUGCAUCAAGAUCCCCGCAGUCCCUGUAAUUGGUAGUUAUACGGGUACUUGAAAUAGCCUUCCUCUGCUGCCUGCUCUCUCUCUGUCUGUUGUUCUGGGCUCUGCAGAAGUGCUCAGCACUUCCAGUACGGCUGGAUUCUGCCGUACAUGCUGUAAAAAGGCGAGGGCUCUGCCCCAGGCUUUCCUGUUCCCUGCUGAUCACCCACCUCCUCUCCUCCAGGAGCUUAGCCUUGGGUGGCAAAUCCCGGCCUCCCUUCCUGCACUGGAUUUGAGGCUAAUGGCAUUUCUUCUGCCGGCUUUGGAGGUGUGCCCGGCGGCCCCCAUGCUGCUCUCUGCAGCCUGCCUGCCCUGCCCUCACUGCAACAGACGGAGAAAAUAAAUGAAAGUGAGACACUGAAACCCUCACCAGGUGGGAGAAGUUAACUGUCAGCUGCCCACAAGCACGCAGACCCCAGACCGGGUGGAACCGGAAGGUUGAUGAUGCUGACUCCCACUACCUCCCCACCAACCAAUCAGAAGAGUGUCCACGAGCUGAUCAAGCCCUCUUUGAGCCAUUACUACAAAACUCCUCACUACCCCCUCCAGGUUGGGCCACACAGUUUUGAGGGCAUUAGCCCACUGUGGCCCCCUUUUCCUGGCAAAGCUGUUAGGAGAAGAACACUGACUGAAACCGCCCGCCCUGGCCAGGCACGACAGUAACCACUUACAUGGCUUAUCUUACAACAGGAGGUCCUGGUAAGGAGCAUGGAACUAACAAGCCACCACCAACCGGAAGAAUUUGGGAAAAGUCAAAAGGAGACACCAGUCCACAUGUACUACCAACCUCCCAGCAUCCUCCUCGCUGGAAUCCAUCUUGGCUGAGCAAUGCACGUGCCACCAGAAAGGACCCUCAGUCAGAAUGAUUGGCCAGAGACAACCCGUAAACUCACCCAAUUACCAUAAAACCCGAGACUGUGAGCCACGUGGCAGAGCCGUCCUCCUGGCAUCCCUCACCCUCCUGCUCUACCCCCAGGCGCCCCUUCCCAAUAAAGUCUCUUGCUUUGUCAGCACGUGUGUCUCCUUGGACAAUUCAUUUCCGAGUGUUAGACAGGACCCCACUCUCGGGCUGUGGAAGGGGUUUCCCCUUCCUGCAACAAAGCAACAAAGCUAUUCUUUUCUACUUCACCCAGAACUGUCUCCAAGAUUUAAUUCAGUGUCGGGGUACAGAGGCUGGAUUCGGCUUCCGGAGGACACUCACGGAGGACUCUGAGCCCGGGGUGGGGAUGGUAUCUACAUUCUUUUCACAGCCCUCCCACCCUCUUGCCCAGGAUGCCCUCUUGGAAGACUUUUUGGGUCCAUUUUGUUACCCGUACCAAUGGAAGACUGUGGUGGAUGGCGUGGAACACACUUCCAGAGGAGGCAGGGCUGGAUGGAAGAGGCUUUGCGGUCAGACGAGAAGAGCUUGGGAUGCAGUCUUCCCGGGAAACAGCGUACCUGCCUGCACCAACUUACGCACCUGCUGACUUUCUAACUGUGGCUGCAGCGGAUCAAGUGGCCGUGGUCCCACCUCAGGGCGUUUGUACUCGUUAGUCCUUCUGCUUUUGGGUCACUUUUCUCCCAGGUUCCAUGGGUUCUUUCCCAUCAUUUAAGGCUAAUCCUUUGCAACGUGUCCUCAAAGACAUGGUGCCUCCAGUUCAGGCCGCGCCCUCGGCCUCCAGUUCUUUACCACAAUUGUCCUAUCACAAUUUCUCAUUGCAUCUACCCCUCUCUGAACGCAGAGUAUUUAUGUAUCGGUUUAUAGGAAUAUUAUCUAUUAACACUAUCCAUUAAUAUUAUUGUGUGCCAGGUACAUGACAAGCACUCGGUAAAUGGCCGUGCUUAAUGAUGAACCCACUGCAUUGAGUCUCUGUGUACAGGUCCCUCUUUCCCAAGGUCAAGGACUAGGUCUUACUUAUCUUUGCUUCCCGAUAAACCUUAUAUGGAAGAGAUGACCAAGAAAUGUCUGUGACGGGAGAGAAACUCAAAUCGUGUCUUCGAUCUAGUGCAUCCAAAGACCAACG
Molecule: non-coding RNA, 6059 nt
Organism: Delphinapterus leucas (beluga whale)
Lineage: Eukaryota; Metazoa; Chordata; Mammalia; Artiodactyla; Monodontidae
Source: RefSeq, a predicted model, not a curated record